GAUGAACGCUGGCGGCGUGCCUAAUACAUGCAAGUCGAGCGAACAGACGAGGAGCUUGCUCCUCUGACGUUAUCGGCGGACGGGUGCUUAACACGUGGAUAACCUAACUCUAAGACUGGGAUAACUUCGGGAAACCGGGGCUAAUACCGGAUAAUAUAUUGCACCUCAUUGUUCAAUAGUUAAAGACGGUAUUGCUUUCACUAAUAGAUUGAUCCGCGCCGCAUUAGCUAGUUGGUAAGGUAGCUGCUUACCAAGGCGACGAUGGUUAGCCGACCUGAAAGGGACAUCCGACAGCCUGGAUGAGAGAAUCGGUACACACUCUUACGGGGGGACACAGUACAGACUCCUACGCGAUGCAGCAGUGCGGAAUGGAGCACAGUCGCGUGAGUCAUGAUGGACUUAUGCUCGUAAAACUAUGAAAUUAGGGAAGAUCAAAUGUGUAAGUACCUAUGAUCAUCUUGACGGUACCUAAUCAGAAAGCUACGGCUAACUCCGUG
Molecule: ribosomal RNA, 497 nt
Filed under: uncultured bacterium
Lineage: Bacteria
Description: partial 16S ribosomal RNA
Rfam family: Bacterial small subunit ribosomal RNA
Source: RNAcentral